Molecule: ribosomal RNA, 205 nt
Filed under: uncultured bacterium
Lineage: Bacteria
Description: partial 16S ribosomal RNA
Rfam family: Bacterial small subunit ribosomal RNA
Source: RNAcentral
CGCGUAGGCGGUCUUUAAGUCAGAUGUGAAAGCCCGGGCUUAACCCCGGAAGUGCAUUUGAAACUAAGGGACUUGAGUAUGGGAGAGGGAAGUGGAAUUCCUGGUGUAGAGGUGAAAUUCGUAGAUAUCAGGAGGAACACCGGUGGCGAAGGCGACUUCCUGGACCAAUACUGACGCUGAGGCGCGAAGGCGUGGGGAGCAAACA